Molecule: long non-coding RNA, 3878 nt
Organism: Gadus macrocephalus (Pacific cod)
Lineage: Eukaryota; Metazoa; Chordata; Actinopteri; Gadiformes; Gadidae
Exons: 2
Source: RefSeq, a predicted model, not a curated record
GCACUGCAAACAGACAGGGCCCUUUCAGUCCCCAUCCCCGUACCCAGUCCCCGUACCCAGUCCCCGUACCCAGUCCCCGUGCCCAGUCCCCGUACCCAGUCCCCGUACCCAGUCCCCGUACCCAGUCCCCGUACCCAGUCCCCGUACCCAGUCCCCGUACCCAGUCCCCGUACCCAGUCCCCGUACCCAAUCCCCAGUCCCCAGUCCCCGUACCCAGUCCCCAGUCCCCAGUCCCCAGUCCCCGUACCCAGUCCCCAGUCCCCAGUCCCCAGUCCCCGUACCCAGUCCCCGUACCCAGUCCCCGUACCCAGUCCCCGUACCCAGUCCCCGUGCCCAGUCCCCGUACCCAGUCCCCGUACCCAGUCCCCAUAACCCACUGAUUUGUUAGCGCCCUUGCUCUCCCCUUCCUUCCUUCUGACUUCCUCCCUCCGCCUCCCUUCCUCCUUCUUCCUCCUCCCCCUCCUUCCUCCCUCCACCUCCCUUCCACCCUUCCCUCCUCCCUCCCUCAUCCUCCUCCCUCCCCCCUCCUCCCUCCCUCCUGAACCAGUAGUGGGAGACCCAAUGAAGAACCAGCUCCGCCUCCCUGUGGUGGUAUUAAAUAUUAUUAUGUUGAUAUUAUUAUGAUAUUAUAUUAUAUGCACUAUCCAAAUCAAAGUUUCAUUCCAGUGAUUUUUAUUUCCUUAUCAGCUAGGAUUGCCAAUUGGAAAAACGAAACAAAGAGUUGUAUUUAUGUUUUCUUCUAGAGAGUUGUACUCUAGUGUCGUCUACUAGAUAGUGUGCAGGCGGACGUCCAGCCGUCUCAGAGAGGCGCUUGUUUCCAGACAAAUUGUAACCGGAGCAAGAUAUACAAAGGAAGCUGUAUAAAGUUGACAAAGAUUAACAUGUGCGCUCACCCCCCCGUUCUGACAACGUAACUCGGCUCCAGCGGUCCUGGACACUGCUGUACAUAAUCACAUCCUCUCCAAGUUACCAAUCUGGUGGCGGCGCUUAUGAUGACUUAGUGACAAUAUGUGAAAUCAGCGAUUGGGGGAAUGCAAUUACCCUCCCAGCACCCAGUCCCCACUCUGUCCUUGACCCCCCGCCGCCGUCGGACCGGUGUGCUGUGACCCCGAAGCAGUUGUGUUCUCUGAUCGAGUCCCAGAGUGAGCGCUAUAGCGUUUGUGAGAGGAGGUUUUUUUUGUUCGACCAGUUUUCCUGCGGUUGUAAAUGUGACGACAAACCUUGAAUGUUCAUGUUUCAUUUUUACGACGAGGUAUUAGUUUCAUUUUGCUAUUGCUCUCGCACACAAACACACAAACACAGAAAUUAUUCGGUAUGAUGCUACCCUUCUGAAUUCAAGGCCUUUCUCCGCACCUGCACAGGGGGAUUGUGGGUAAUCAAUAAUCUGAUGUUUUCAAGGCCGAAGCGGGCAGACAACACCCUCGUAAGUUGUUUCCAAAGCAACGGUGACAGAGUGAAGUAGACGACUCUUGGCUAACAGGCUCGGCACGGUCUUGUUGCUUCGUCUAUUAUGCGUCCGUUUGAUCCGCACAUCGCAGCGCUAUGGGAACUCGCAGAUGACUGAUGUGAUGCACACUUUGCUCAUGAUAUGAAUCUCUGGGCUGUAAAAUGAAUCAGUCUGGUUAUCUGGUGUGAUUACAGCUGGAACUCCCGGUUCAACCGAUGGAGAUGUACAGACAGCGGGAGGUGAGGGCAGGGCAACACGUGCAUGUGCAUCCUAUUCACUCAUCGUUUCUGCCGUUAUGCAUUGAAGAGAGACAGUAGGGUAAAGUCCUGCUGGCCUUAUUGCAAUUAAUCAUUAUGAUACAUACAGUGAUAGCCUAGAAUAUACACCAAGGUUUCAUGGAUGAUUGACCCUGUCAGGGUAGUGGUUCCACAGUUUGUGCUGUGUAUGUAGGCCUAUGGGCCCUUGGGGCUCUGGGAGGGAGUAAUCUCAUUUAAUUAGUUGACGCUUGCGUUAAAUCUGUGUACCUGGUUGGAAAGACUUGUGUGCAUUCUGAAAAAGAAAUGUGUCCUUUUAGUCUUAAUAUGUUUUCGAUGAUUGUGUGUGAGGGAGUGAGUCUGUGUGCGUGUGUGUGUGUGCGUGUGUGUGUGUGUGUGUGUGUUUGUGUGUGUGUCUGUCUGUGUGUGUGUGUAUGUGUGUCUAUUGCUUUCAAAAUGUUAAUAUCGUUGGCAAAAUAAAUCAGGCUUUUGCAAUCGAAGAAAACUGUAAUGGGUGGGGUGGGUGUGGGGGGAUGGGACCUAUUAUUGAAAUGUCACCGGGAAUCCAGUGUACCAUUUACCGGGAGUGCAUUUGAGCUGAGAGAUCUGUUAUGCAACCUCAUCUUCUCCCUAAUGGACGCUGCGCUGCAUGGGGUCACGUGCUCCACGUUAACCUCUCCCAACUGUGCAACCUAUUUUUCUACCAGUAAAUAAUGUACAUAGAAAUACUUGACAUGUCCUAGUUGGGGCCUUCUCUCGUUUGACUAGUUUUGCCUUAAAAUUGUAUUUGACGUGAUUGAUGUAUAGUUAUUAUUAGUUGUAUUUAUGUCAUGACCAAAGUAUAGAUGUAUGAGUUUACCCUCUCGACAAAGUGCAUUUUAAACGAUUUGAUAUUUUGUCCGGAAAUAUUUGAGGUACAUACUGUGUGUGUGUGUGUGGGAGCUGUGAGGUGAGUGUGUGUGUGUGCUCUGUUUUCCUGUGUGUUUUUCUAUGUGUGUGCGUGUGCACAUGUGUGUGUGUGCGUGUGUGCGGGUCUAGGUAUAGGUUUUGUGAGUUGUAAGUAGUGUAAAUACGAACAUAGAACCCAAGAAGGUUAACAUGUAAAAACUCUGUGAUUUAAGACUUCAUCAAACCACCCUGGAGCUGCCCAUUGUUAGUGCAUACCUACGAUAUCUUUAUAGUCUGAUCCCAGCGCGUCUCUGCUGCAGUCUGCACACGGCUGGGCUCACAGCUCCGUGUCAGAGGAUCCCACGUUUCAGGGAAUUACACAUCUGGAGAGCGGACCCUGGGUUUCAGUUAAACUGUGAAAUGGGUUUGACGGAAAACGCUGCAGUAAUCCUGGCUUUGCACUACAAACCAAGAGGGAGGUCUCUCUCUUUCACCUUGCAAAUUAAUAUCUGAGAUUCUCUUUACCGUCUACACGGAAAUGUGCGAAUGGGGAUUUUGGAGGUGGUUAAACUAUUCGGAAUGUCAAUAUCUGCCUGUGGUGUUGAGCAUGCAGUGCAGCUGUCUCAAAGUCGUUUUGUCAUUCUUAGGCACUUUGGUUUUCACGCACACCUGGAUUCUCGCUAAUGCUUCUGACAUUUUCUGUAACAUCAAUAUUCAGCGUUCAGUUGUCAUCCUGCUCACAUUUCUCCUCGAAACAACCUUUGAUGCUACACGCAUGUACAGAUGUUUGUGUUGCAGGCCGCUUUGAAAAAAAAAUACAAAUAAGGCACCACAAUAAUACUUAUAGCACAGGAAUAAUUCUUUAGAGGCUGUGAAACUCGAUAUCUUUUUAUUUAGUUCUGUUUCAUUUAAAGAUAUUACUAUGAAAGUCAAGGCACUUUGACACUGUCAAUCCUUUGAACAGGUGACCGCUCUGUAUGUGACACUUAUCAGCUUAUCGGUUUGAAGUAGGCACUUUAUCGUGAACAACAAUUCUUAAUGGCAUACGAUGAUAUAUUGGUUUACAAGGAAUUAUUCUGUGCAUCCCAACGUUUGGAUAUUUGUUCAUGAUUGUAAUAAAAAGGUUGUUAAUCAAGCAUUCCUUAGUAUGUAAGGUAACUGCGAUAAAAUGUUGGUAACCUUAAAUUUGUAUGCUUAACACAUCAGUGGUAAGCAAAAUAUGAUCAUAUAUUCUGCUGUUGAAAUGUGUAACACAUCUGAAAAUGAAUAUUAAAAUAUUUUUAUGUGAA